This 404-nucleotide unclassified non-coding RNA is filed under the name soil metagenome. RNAcentral describes it as "partial contains 5.8S ribosomal RNA, internal transcribed spacer 2, and large subunit ribosomal RNA". The stretch from base 1 to 122 matches the Rfam family "5.8S ribosomal RNA", at positions 35 to 154 of the family's 154-position model. The record is from RNAcentral.
GAUGAAGAACGUAGCAAAAUGCGAUACUUGGUGUGAAUUGCAGAAUCCCGUGAACCAUCGAGUUUUUGAACGCAAGUUGCGCCCGAAGCCUUUUGGCCGAGGGCACGUCUGCCUGGGCGUCACGCAUCACGUCGCCCCCCACAAUUCUCCGUAAAGGGAACGUGUGUUUUGGGGGCGGAUAUUGGUCUCCCGUGCUCAUGGCGUGGUUGGCCGAAAUAGGAGUCCUUUCGAUGGACGCACGAACUAGUGGUGGUCGUAAAAACCCUCGUCUUUUGUUUCGUGCUGUUGCUCGCAAGGUAAACUCUUUAAAAACCCCACCGUGUCGUCUCUUGACGACGCUUCGACCGCGACCCCAGGUCAGGCGGGACUACCCGCUGAGUUUAAGCAUAUCAAUAAGCGGAGGA